This 164-nucleotide ribosomal RNA is filed under the name Daucus aureus. RNAcentral describes it as "5.8S ribosomal RNA". It matches the Rfam family "5.8S ribosomal RNA". From Rfam's summary of the family: 5.8S ribosomal RNA (5.8S rRNA) is a component of the large subunit of the eukaryotic ribosome. It is transcribed by RNA polymerase I as part of the 45S precursor that also contains 18S and 28S rRNA. Lineage: Eukaryota; Viridiplantae; Streptophyta; Magnoliopsida; Apiales; Apiaceae. The record is from RNAcentral.
CAAAAUGACUCUCGGCAACGGAUAUCCCGGCUCUCGCAUCGAUGAAGAACGUAGCGAAAUGCGAUACUUGGUGUGAAUUGCAGAAUCCCGUGAACCAUCGAGUCUUUGAACGCAAGUUGCGCCCGAAGCCUUUAGGCCCAGGGCACGUCUGCCUGGGUGUCACG